Molecule: long non-coding RNA, 100 nt
Organism: Telopea speciosissima
Lineage: Eukaryota; Viridiplantae; Streptophyta; Magnoliopsida; Proteales; Proteaceae
Exons: 3
Source: RefSeq, a predicted model, not a curated record
GGCUACAAAUGUGAUGGAUUAGUUAGCAUAUAUCUAAUGGUCGUUCCAAUCUAGAGUUGAAAUUUCAAUUUGAAUUGGUCGUGAGAACAACAAACGUUUC